UACGUAGGGGGCGAGCGUUGUCCGGAUUUAUUGGGCGUAAAGAGCUCGUAGGCGGUUUGGCAAGUCGGGUGUGAAAACUCCGGGCUCAACUCGGAGACGCCACUCGAUACUGCCAUGACUUGAGUCCGGUAGGGGAGUGCGGAAUUCCGCGUGUAGCAGUGAAAUGCGUAGAGAUGCGGAGGAACACCGAUGGCGAAGGCAGCCCCCUGGGCUAAUACUGACGCUGAGGCACGAAAGCGUGGGGAGCAAACAGG
Molecule: ribosomal RNA, 254 nt
Filed under: uncultured bacterium
Lineage: Bacteria
Description: partial 16S ribosomal RNA
Rfam family: Bacterial small subunit ribosomal RNA
Source: RNAcentral